Molecule: ribosomal RNA, 443 nt
Filed under: uncultured bacterium
Lineage: Bacteria
Description: partial 16S ribosomal RNA
Rfam family: Bacterial small subunit ribosomal RNA
Source: RNAcentral
CCUACGGGUGGCAGCAGUGGGGAAUAUUGGGCAAUGGGCGCAUGCCUGACCCAGCAACGCCGCGUGAAGGAAGAAGGCUUUCGGGUUGUAAACUUCUUUUCUCAGGGACGAAGAAAGUGACGGUACCUGAGGAAUAAGCCACGGCUAACUACGUGCCAGCAGCCGCGGUAAUACGUAGGUGGCAAGCGUUAUCCGGAUUUACUGGGUGUAAAGGGCGUGUAGGCGGGACUGCAAGUCAGAUGUGAAAACCACGGGCUCAACCUGUGGCCUGCAUUUGAAACUGUUUUUCUUGAGUGCUGGAGAGGCAAUCGGAAUUCCGUGUGUAGCGGUGAAAUGCGUAGAUAUACGGAGGAACACCAGUGGCGAAGGCGGAUUGCUGGACAGUAACUGACGCUGAGGCGCGAAAGCGUGGGGAGCAAACAGGAUUAGAUACCCGAGUAGUC